RNAcentral lists this small nuclear RNA (27 nucleotides) under Arabidopsis thaliana (thale cress). RNAcentral's name for it is "snRNA_04341". Lineage: Eukaryota; Viridiplantae; Streptophyta; Magnoliopsida; Brassicales; Brassicaceae. The record is from RNAcentral.
GGUCGUACUCAUAACCGCAUCAGGUCU